AUGAACGCUGGCGGCGUGCCUAAUACAUGCAAGUCGAGCGAACGGACGAGAAGCUUGCUUCUCUGAUGUUAGCGGCGGACGGGUGAGUAACACGUGGAUAACCUACCUAUAAGACUGGGAUAACUUCGGGAAACCGGAGCUAAUACCGGAUAAUAUUUUGAACCGCAUGGUUCAAAAGUGAAAGACGGUCUUGCUGGCACUUAUAGAUGGAUCCGCGCUGCAUUAGCUAGUUGGUAAGGUAACGGCUUACCAAGGCAACGAUGCAUAGCCGACCUGAGAGGGUGAUCGGCCACACUGGAACUGAGACACGGUCCAGACUCCUACGGGAGGCAGCAGUAGGGAAUCUUCCGCAAUGGGCGAAAGCCUGACGGAGCAACGCCGCGUGAGUGAUGAAGGUCUUCGGAUCGUAAAACUCUGUUAUUAGGGAAGAACAUAUGUGUAAGUAACUGUGCACAUCUUGACGGUACCUAAUCAGAAAGCCACGGCUAACUACGUG
Molecule: ribosomal RNA, 496 nt
Filed under: uncultured bacterium
Lineage: Bacteria
Description: partial 16S ribosomal RNA
Rfam family: Bacterial small subunit ribosomal RNA
Source: RNAcentral